GCAAGAGUAUACUGGUGAUCACUGUUUCCCUUAAAAUAUACUUCAAGAAAUGCAGAGGAAACUAGAGAAUUUAAAAAUGAAAAUAAAAAGUGCUCUCAGGGGAUCUGAGAAAACAGCACCCACACUGAUCCACCAGUAAAGAUUGACUCUAUCCUAUCUCCGUCAUCUUGUUGUCCGGGGAAUUGGGCAGGCCCAGCUGACGU
RNAcentral lists this long non-coding RNA (203 nucleotides) under Bos taurus (domestic cattle). RNAcentral describes it as "long non-coding RNA NONBTAT009698". Lineage: Eukaryota; Metazoa; Chordata; Mammalia; Artiodactyla; Bovidae. The record is from RNAcentral.